Molecule: ribosomal RNA, 587 nt
Filed under: uncultured bacterium
Lineage: Bacteria
Description: bacterial SSU rRNA
Rfam family: Bacterial small subunit ribosomal RNA
Source: RNAcentral
CCUACGGGAGGCAGCAGUGGGGAAUAUUGGACAAUGGGGGGAACCCUGAUCCAGCCAUGCCGCGUGUGUGAAGAAGGCCUUAUGGUUGUAAAGCACUUUAAGCGAGGAGGAGGCUACUAGUAUUAAUACUACUGGAUAGUGGACGUUACUCGCAGAAUAAGCACCGGCUAACUCUGUGCCAGCAGCCGCGGUAAUACAGAGGGUGCGAGCGUUAAUCGGAUUUACUGGGCGUAAAGCGUGCGUAGGCGGCCAUUUAAGUCAAAUGUGAAAUCCCCGAGCUUAACUUGGGAAUUGCAUUCGAUACUGGAUGGCUAGAGUAUGGGAGAGGAUGGUAGAAUUCCAGGUGUAGCGGUGAAAUGCGUAGAGAUCUGGAGGAAUACCGAUGGCGAAGGCAGCCAUCUGGCCUAAUACUGACGCUGAGGUACGAAAGCAUGGGGAGCAAACAGGAUUAGAUACCCUGGUAGUCCAUGCCGUAAACGAUGUCUACUAGCCGUUGGGGCCUUUGAGGCUUUAGUGGCGCAGCUAACGCGAUAAGUAGACCGCCUGGGGAGUACGGUCGCAAGACUAAAACUCAAAGGAAUUGACGG